UACGUAGGGAGCAAGCGUUGUCCGGAAUCAUUGGGCGUAAAGCGCGCGUAGGUGGCUUCGUAAGUCCGUUGUGAAAGUCAAAGGCUCAACCUUUGAAAGCCGAUGGAUACUGCGGAGCUAGAGUACGGAAGAGGCGAGUGGAAUUCCUGGUGUAGCGGUGGAAUGCGCAGAUAUCAGGAGGAACACCAGUGACGAAGGCGGCGAUCUGGGAAGAUACUGACGCUGAGGUGCGAAAGCGUGGGGAGCAAACAGG
Molecule: ribosomal RNA, 253 nt
Filed under: uncultured bacterium
Lineage: Bacteria
Description: partial 16S ribosomal RNA
Rfam family: Bacterial small subunit ribosomal RNA
Source: RNAcentral